This 445-nucleotide ribosomal RNA is filed under the name Kocuria sp. Its description in RNAcentral is "bacterial SSU rRNA". It matches the Rfam family "Bacterial small subunit ribosomal RNA", at positions 20 to 462 of the family's 1533-position model. Lineage: Bacteria; Bacillati; Actinomycetota; Actinomycetes; Micrococcales; Micrococcaceae. The record is from RNAcentral.
UGGCUCAGGACGAACGCUGGCGGCGUGCUUAACACAUGCAAGUCGAACGCUGAAGCACCAGCUUGCUGGUGUGGAUGAGUGGCGAACGGGUGAGUAAUACGUGAGUAACCUGCCCUUGACUCUGGGAUAAGCCCGGGAAACUGGGUCUAAUACUGGAUGCUACAUGUCACCGCAUGGUGGUGUGUGGAAAGGGUUUACUGGUCUUGGAUGGGCUCACGGCCUAUCAGCUUGUUGGUGAGGUAAUGGCUCACCAAGGCGACGACGGGUAGCCGGCCUGAGAGGGUGACCGGCCACACUGGGACUGAGACACGGCCCAGACUCCUACGGGAGGCAGCAGUGGGGAAUAUUGCACAAUGGGCGAAAGCCUGAUGCAGCGACGCCGCGUGAGGGAUGACGGCCUUCGGGUUGUAAACCUCUUUCAGCAGGGAAGAAGCCACAAGUGUAC